UUAAAUUGAAGAGUUUGAUCAUGGCUCAGAUUGAACGCUGGCGGCAGGCCUAACACAUGCAAGUCGAGCGGAAACGAGUUAUCUGAACCUUCGGGGAACGAUAGCGGCGUCGAGCGGCGGACGGGUG
This 127-nucleotide ribosomal RNA is filed under the name Vibrio parahaemolyticus. Its description in RNAcentral is "partial 16S ribosomal RNA". It matches the Rfam family "Bacterial small subunit ribosomal RNA", at positions 1 to 108 of the family's 1533-position model. Lineage: Bacteria; Pseudomonadati; Pseudomonadota; Gammaproteobacteria; Vibrionales; Vibrionaceae. The record is from RNAcentral.